Misgurnus anguillicaudatus (oriental weatherfish) is the source of this 72-nucleotide small nucleolar RNA. RefSeq annotates it as small nucleolar RNA SNORD63. The record is from RefSeq and is a predicted model, not a curated record. Lineage: Eukaryota; Metazoa; Chordata; Actinopteri; Cypriniformes; Cobitidae.
GUGAUGUGAUGAACCUUAUCAACACAUCAUUCUUACAUUUUAAUAUGAAGACGACUUUUAUAUCUGAUCACA